ACGGGGGGUGCGAGCGUUGUCCGGAAUCACUGGGCGUAAAGGGCGCGUAGGUGGUUUGAUAAGGGUGUGGUGAAAGCCCGGAGCUCAACUCCGGGUCUGCCGUGCCGACUGUCAAACUCGAGGGCUGUAGAGGCAGACGGAAUUCCGGGUGUAGCGGUGGAAUGCGUAGAUAUCGGAAGGAACGCCGGUGGCGAAAGCGGCGUGCUGGACCUCUUCUGACGCUGAGGCGCGAAAGCUAGGGGAGCGAACGGGA
This 253-nucleotide ribosomal RNA is filed under the name uncultured prokaryote. Its description in RNAcentral is "partial 16S ribosomal RNA". It matches the Rfam family "Bacterial small subunit ribosomal RNA", at positions 525 to 777 of the family's 1533-position model. The record is from RNAcentral.